This 253-nucleotide ribosomal RNA is filed under the name uncultured bacterium. RNAcentral describes it as "partial 16S ribosomal RNA". It matches the Rfam family "Bacterial small subunit ribosomal RNA", at positions 524 to 776 of the family's 1533-position model. The record is from RNAcentral.
UACGGGGGAUGCAAGCGUUAUCCGGAAUCACUGGGCGUAAAGAGUCUGUAGGUGGCUUGACAAGUCUGUUGUUAAAUAUUAAAGCUUAACUUUAAACAAGCGAUAGAAACUGUCAUGCUAGAGUAUGGUAGGGGUAGAGGGAAUUCCCAGUGUAGCGGUGAAAUGCGUAGAUAUUGGGAAGAACACCAGUGGCGAAGGCGCUCUACUGGGCCAUUACUGACACUCAGAGACGAAAGCUAAGGUAGCGAAUGGG